GAUGAACGCUGGCGGCGUGCCUAAUACAUGCAAGUCGAGCGAACGGACGAGAAGCUUGCUUCUCUGAUGUUAGCGGCGGACGGGUGAGUAACACGUGGAUAACCUACCUAUAAGACUGGGAUAACUUCGGGAAACCGUAGCUAAUACCGGAUAAUAUUUUGAACCGCAUGGUUCAAAAGUGAAAGACGGUCUUGCUGUCACUUAUAGAUGGAUCCGCGCUGCAUUAGCUAGUUGGUAAGGUAACGGCUUACCAAGGCAACGAUGCAUAGCCGACCUGAGAGGGUGAUCGGCCACCCUGGAACUGAGACACGGUCCAGACUCCUACGGGAGGCAGCAGUGGGGACUCUUCCGCAAUGGGCGGAAGCCUGACCGAGCCACACCGCGUGAGUGAUGAAGGUCUUCGGAUCGUAAAACUCUGUUAUUAGGGAAGAACAUAUGUGUAAGUAACUGUGCACAUCUUGACGGUACCUAAUCAGAAAGCCACGGCUAACUACGUG
This 497-nucleotide ribosomal RNA is filed under the name uncultured bacterium. RNAcentral's name for it is "partial 16S ribosomal RNA". It matches the Rfam family "Bacterial small subunit ribosomal RNA", at positions 28 to 507 of the family's 1533-position model. The record is from RNAcentral.